UUUUUUAACUUUUUCAGGUUGAACAAAGAAAUUCAUUGGCGCAGGGUUUGAAUCUGCGACCAAGGAAUUGCCCUAUCCAGCCCUAUUUAUCGUAAUGCACCGGUCAGUUUCCCUGUGUGGUUUAUCACAUUCAAAAUGACCAGCCAACCCUCACAAGCUUGGUGGUCCAGUGGUACGUUAGACCCCACGUAAGCUCAAAAGUGUAGGUACUAGUGGGUAGUAAGCUGUAGGUACUAGUGGGUAGUAAGCUGUAGGUACUAGUGGGUAGUAAGCUGUAGGUACUAGUGGGUAGUAAGCUGUAGGUACUAGUGGGUAGUAAGCUGUAGGUACUAGUGGGUAGUAAGCUGUAGGUACUAGUGGGUAGUAAGCUGUAGGUACUAGUGGGUAGUAAGCUGUAGGUACUAGUGGGUAGUAAGCUGUAGGUACUAGUGGGUAGUAAGCUGUAGGUACUAGUGGGUAGUAAGCUGUAGGUACUAGUGGGUAGUAAGCUGUAGGUACUAGUGGGUAGUAAGCU
This is a long non-coding RNA of Patiria miniata (bat star), 514 nucleotides long. RefSeq lists it as uncharacterized. The transcript is spliced from 2 exons. NCBI's taxonomy places the organism in Eukaryota, Metazoa, Echinodermata, Asteroidea, Valvatida, Asterinidae. The record is from RefSeq and is a predicted model, not a curated record.